GGGUUGUGAGGUUAAGCGACUAAGCGUACACGGUGGAUGCCCUGGCAGUCAGAGGCGAUGAAGGACGUGCUAAUCUGCGAAAAGCGUCGGUAAGGUGAUAUGAACCGUUAUAACCGGCGAUGUCCGAAUGGGGAAACCCAGUGCAAUUCGUUGCACUAUCGUUAACUGAAUACAUAGGUUAACGAGGCGAACCGGGGGAACUGAAACAUCUAAGUACCCCGAGGAAAAGAAAUCAACCGAGAUUCCCCCAGUAGCGGCGAGCGAACGGGGAGCAGCCCAGAGUCUGAAUCAGCUUGUGUGUUAGUGGAACGGUCUGGAAAGUCCGACGGUACAGGGUGAUAGUCCCGUACACCAAAAUGCACAGGCUGUGAACUCGAAGAGUAGGGCGGGACACGUGGUAUCCUGUCUGAAUAUGGGGGGACCAUCCUCCAAGGCUAAAUACUCCUGACUGACCGAUAGUGAACCAGUACCGUGAGGGAAAGGCGAAAAGAACCCCGGCGAGGGGAGUGAAAAAGAACCUGAAACCGUGUACGUACAAGCAGUGGGAGCACCUUCGGGUGUGACUGCGUACCUUUUGUAUAAUGGGUCAGCGACUUAUAUUCUGUAGCAAGGUUAACCGUAUAGGGGAGCCGCAGGGAAACCGAGUCUUAACUGGGCGUUAAGUUGCAGGGUAUAGACCCGAAACCCGGUGAUCUAGCCAUGGGCAGGUUGAAGGUUGGGUAACACUAACUGGAGGACCGAACCGACUAAUGUUGAAAAAUUAGCGGAUGACUUGUGGCUGGGGGUGAAAGGCCAAUCAAACCGGGAGAUAGCUGGUUCUCCCCGAAAGCUAUUUAGGUAGCGCCUCGUGAAUUCAUCUUCGGGGGUAGAGCACUGUUUCGGCUAGGGGGUCAUCCCGACUUACCAACCCGAUGCAAACUACGAAUACCGAAGAAUGUUAUCACGGGAGACACACGGCGGGUGCUAACGUCCGUCGUGAAGAGGGAAACAACCCAGACCGCCAGCUAAGGUCCCAAAGUCAUGGUUAAGUGGGAAACGAUGUGGGAAGGCACAGACAGCCAGGAUGUUGGCUUAGAAGCAGCCAUCAUUUAAAGAAAGCGUAAUAGCUCACUGGUCGAGUCGGCCUGCGCGGAAGAUGUAACGGGGCUAAACCAUGCACCGAAGCUGCGGCAGCGACACUAUGUGUUGUUGGGUAGGGGAGCGUUCUGUAAGCCUGCGAAGGUGUGCUGUGAGGCAUGCUGGAGGUAUCAGAAGUGCGAAUGCUGACAUAAGUAACGAUAAAGCGGGUGAAAAGCCCGCUCGCCGGAAGACCAAGGGUUCCUGUCCAACGUUAAUCGGGGCAGGGUGAGUCGACCCCUAAGGCGAGGCCGAAAGGCGUAGUCGAUGGGAAACAGGUUAAUAUUCCUGUACUUGGUGUUACUGCGAAGGGGGGACGGAGAAGGCUAUGUUAGCCGGGCGACGGUUGUCCCGGUUUAAGCAUGUAGGCUGGUUGUCCAGGCAAAUCCGGAUAAUCAAGGCUGAGGUGUGAUGACGAGGCACUACGGUGCUGAAGUAACAAAUGCCCUGCUUCCAGGAAAAGCCUCUAAGCAUCAGGUAACAUCAAAUCGUACCCCAAACCGACACAGGUGGUCAGGUAGAGAAUACCAAGGCGCUUGAGAGAACUCGGGUGAAGGAACUAGGCAAAAUGGUGCCGUAACUUCGGGAGAAGGCACGCUGGUGUGUAGGUGAAGUCCCUGCGGAUGGAGCUGAGACCAGUCGAAGAUACCAGCUGGCUGCAACUGUUUAUUAAAAACACAGCACUGUGCAAACACGAAAGUGGACGUAUACGGUGUGACGCCUGCCCGGUGCCGGAAGGUUAAUUGAUGGGGUUAUCCGUAAGGAGAAGCUCUUGAUCGAAGCCCCGGUAAACGGCGGCCGUAACUAUAACGGUCCUAAGGUAGCGAAAUUCCUUGUCGGGUAAGUUCCGACCUGCACGAAUGGCGUAAUGAUGGCCAGGCUGUCUCCACCCGAGACUCAGUGAAAUUGAACUCGCUGUGAAGAUGCAGUGUACCCGCGGCAAGACGGAAAGACCCCGUGAACCUUUACUAUAGCUUGACACUGAACAUUGAGCCUUGAUGUGUAGGAUAGGUGGGAGGCUUUGAAGCGUGGACGCCAGUCUGCGUGGAGCCAACCUUGAAAUACCACCCUUUAAUGUUUGAUGUUCUAACGUUGGCCCCUGACCGGGGUUGCGGACAGUGUCUGGUGGGUAGUUUGACUGGGGCGGUCUCCUCCCAAAGCGUAACGGAGGAGCACGAAGGUUAGCUAAUCCUGGUCGGACAUCAGGAGGUUAGUGCAAUGGCAUAAGCUAGCUUGACUGCGAGCGUGACGGCGCGAGCAGGUGCGAAAGCAGGUCAUAGUGAUCCGGUGGUUCUGAAUGGAAGGGCCAUCGCUCAACGGAUAAAAGGUACUCCGGGGAUAACAGGCUGAUACCGCCCAAGAGUUCAUAUCGACGGCGGUGUUUGGCACCUCGAUGUCGGCUCAUCACAUCCUGGGGCUGAAGUAGGUCCCAAGGGUAUGGCUGUUCGCCAUUUAAAGUGGUACGCGAGCUGGGUUUAGAACGUCGUGAGACAGUUCGGUCCCUAUCUGCCGUGGGCGCUGGAGAAUUGAGGGGGGCUGCUCCUAGUACGAGAGGACCGGAGUGGACGCAUCACUGGUGUUCGGGUUGUCAUGCCAAUGGCA
This 2718-nucleotide ribosomal RNA is filed under the name Klebsiella pneumoniae. Its description in RNAcentral is "bacterial LSU rRNA". It matches the Rfam family "Bacterial large subunit ribosomal RNA". The record is from RNAcentral. Lineage: Bacteria; Pseudomonadati; Pseudomonadota; Gammaproteobacteria; Enterobacterales; Enterobacteriaceae.